Molecule: ribosomal RNA, 255 nt
Filed under: uncultured bacterium
Lineage: Bacteria
Description: partial 16S ribosomal RNA
Rfam family: Bacterial small subunit ribosomal RNA
Source: RNAcentral
UACGUAGGGGGCGAGCGUUGUCCGGAGUUAUUGGGCGUAAAGCGCGCGCAGGCGGUUUAGCAAGUCUGGAGUGACAGUUCCCGGCUCACCUGGGAAAGGUCUUCGGAAACUGCUAGACUUGAGGGACUCAGAGGGAGACGGAAUUCCAGGUGGAGCGGUGAAAUGCGUAGAGAUCUGGAGGAACACCAAAGGCGAAGGCAGUCUCCUGGGAGUUACCUGACGCUCAGGCGCGAAAGCCAGGGGAGCCGGAACGGG